Molecule: long non-coding RNA, 245 nt
Organism: Thalassophryne amazonica
Lineage: Eukaryota; Metazoa; Chordata; Actinopteri; Batrachoidiformes; Batrachoididae
Exons: 4
Source: RefSeq, a predicted model, not a curated record
AGCUAAAGCAAAAAGCUGUGGUCCUCAUGUGAACAGCUCAGACAGUUUCAAAUAUUAAAAUCAUUCACACGCUGAGUAAAUAUAAAGUCUUAAUCUUACCUGUUACAUCAUUUCAGUCAGAUUCAUCAUCACAGCCUGACAAAAACUUAUCCACAUAAAGCAUCCUGAUUUUGGAAAACGACGUCUGCAAAUGCUUUAGUUCCUUGUUGUGACUAAAAAAACAUAUUUGUUUUUCUCAGCAUUUC